GAUGAACGCUGGCGGCGUGCCUAAUACAUGCAAGUCGAGCGAACAGACGAGGAGCUUGCUCCUCUGACGUUAGCGGCGGACGGGUGAGUAACACGUGGAUAACCUACCUAUAAGACUGGGAUAACUUCGGGAAACCGGAGCUAAUACCGGAUAAUAUAUUGAACCGCAUGGUUCAAUAGUGAAAGACGGUUUUGCUGUCACUUAUAGAUGGAUCCGCGCCGCAUUAGCUAGUUGGUAAGGUAACGGCUUACCAAGGCAACGAUGCGUAGCCGACCUGAGAGAGUGAUCGGCCACACUGGAACUGAGACACGGUCCAUACUACUACGGGAGGCAGCAGUAGGGAAUCUUCCGCAAUGGGCGAAAGCCUGACGGAGCAACGCCGCGUGAGUGAUGAAGGUCUUCGGAUCGUAAAACUCUGUUAUGAGGGAAGAACAAAUGUGUAAGUAACUAUGCACGUCUUGACGGUACCUAAUCAGAAAGCCACGGCUAACUACGUG
This 497-nucleotide ribosomal RNA is filed under the name uncultured bacterium. Its description in RNAcentral is "partial 16S ribosomal RNA". It matches the Rfam family "Bacterial small subunit ribosomal RNA", at positions 28 to 507 of the family's 1533-position model. The record is from RNAcentral.